This 83-nucleotide ribosomal RNA is filed under the name uncultured bacterium. RNAcentral describes it as "partial 16S ribosomal RNA". The record is from RNAcentral.
CUGUCACGUGGGGAAGGAAACGCUUCAGGUUAAUAGCCUGAAGCCUGACUUAACCGGAGAGGAAGCAGUGGCUAACUCUGUGC